RNAcentral lists this ribosomal RNA (928 nucleotides) under uncultured archaeon. RNAcentral's name for it is "bacterial SSU rRNA". It matches the Rfam family "Archaeal small subunit ribosomal RNA", at positions 1 to 936 of the family's 1478-position model. The record is from RNAcentral.
UUCCGGUUGAUCCUGCCAGACCUGACUGCUAUCGGAUUGAUACUAAGCCAUGCGAGUCAUUGCAGCAAUGCAAGGCAGACGGCUCAGUAACGCGUAGUCAACCUAACCUAUGGACGGGAAUAACCUCGGGAAACUGAGUAUAAUGCCCAAUAGAACACUAUACCUGGAAUGGUUUGUGUUCCAAAUGAUUUAUCGCCGUAGGAUGGGACUGCGGCCUAUCAGUUUGUUGGUGAGGUAAUGGCCCACCAAGACUAUUACAGGUACGGGCUCUGAGAGGAGUAGCCCGGAGAUGGGUACUGAGACACGGACCCAGGCCCUAUGGGGCGCAGCAGGCGAGAAAACUUUGCAAUGUGCGAAAGCACGACAAGGUUAAUCCGAGUGGUUUCUGCUAAAGGAACCUUUUGUUAGUCCUAGAAACACUAACGAAUAAGGGGUGGGCAGCUUCUGGUGUCAUCCGCCGCGGUAAAACCAGCACCUCAAGUGGUCAGGAUGAUUAUUGGGCCUAAAGCAUCCGUAGCCGGCUCUGUAAGUUUUCGGUUAAAUCUGUACGCUCAACGUACAGGCUGCUGGGAAUACUGCAGGGCUAGGGAGUGGGAGAGGUAGACGGUACUCGGUAGGAAGUGGUAAAAUCCUUUGAUCUAUCGAUGACCACCUGUGGCGUAGGCGGUCUACCAGGACACGUCCGACGGUGAGGGAUGAAAGCUGGGGGAGCAAACCGGAUUAGAUACCCGGGUAGUCCCAGCUGUAAACUAUGCAAACUCAAUGAUGCAUUGACUUGUGGUCAAUGCAGUGUUGCAGGGAAGCCGUUAAGUUUGCCGCCUGGGAAGUACGUACGCAAGUAUGAAACUUAAAGGAAUUGGCGGGGGAGCACCACAAGGGGUGAAGCCUGCGGUUCAAUUGGAGUCAACGCCAGAAAUCUUACCCGGAG